This 501-nucleotide ribosomal RNA is filed under the name uncultured bacterium. RNAcentral describes it as "bacterial SSU rRNA". It matches the Rfam family "Bacterial small subunit ribosomal RNA", at positions 8 to 526 of the family's 1533-position model. The record is from RNAcentral.
AGAGUUUGAUCCUGGCUCAGAAUCAACGCUGGCGGCGUGCCUAACACAUGCAAGUCGAACGAGAAAGUGGAGCAAUCCAUGAGUAAAGUGGCGACCGGGUGAGUAACACGUGACUAACCUACCCUGAAGUGGGGAAUAACCUCGGGAAACCGGGGCUAAUACCGCAUAACAUCGCGAGCUGUAAACGCUUGUGAUCAAAGGAGCAAUUUGCUUUAGGAGGGGGUCGCGGCUGAUUAGCUAGUUGGUGAGGUAAUGGCCCACCAAGGCAAUGAUCGGUAGCCGGCCUGAGAGGGCGCACGGCCACACUGGAACUGAAACACGGUCCAGACUCCUACGGGAGGCAGCAGUGGGGAAUUUUGCGCAAUGGGGGAAACCCUGACGCAGCAACGCCGCGUGGAGGAUGAAGCCCCUUGGGGUGUAAACUCCUUUCGAUCGGGACGAUUAUGACGGUACCGGAUGAAGAAGCACCGGCUAACUCUGUGCCAGCCGCCGCGGUAAUAC